CAAGUAAGACCCCUUGUAGACUACGAGGUUGAUAGGCUGCGUGUGUACGCACGGUGACGUGUUUAGCUUGGCAGUACUAAUAGGUCGAGGGCUUGACCAU
This 100-nucleotide ribosomal RNA is filed under the name Candidatus Ruminococcus equi. RNAcentral's name for it is "partial 23S ribosomal RNA". It matches the Rfam family "Bacterial large subunit ribosomal RNA", at positions 2825 to 2925 of the family's 2925-position model. The record is from RNAcentral. Lineage: Bacteria; Bacillati; Bacillota; Clostridia; Eubacteriales; Oscillospiraceae.